CGGGGUGAGUAACGCGUGGGUAACCUGCCUCAUACAGGGGGAUAACAGUUGGAAACGACUGCUAAUACCGCAUAAGCGCACAGUGUCGCAUGACACAGUGUGAAAAACUCCGGUGGUAUGAGAUGGACCCGCGUCUGAUUAGCUAGUUGGUGGGGUAACGGCCUACCAAGGCGACGAUCAGUAGCCGACCUGAGAGGGUGAUCGGCCACAUUGGGACUGAGACACGGCCCAA
Molecule: ribosomal RNA, 232 nt
Filed under: uncultured bacterium
Lineage: Bacteria
Description: partial 16S ribosomal RNA
Rfam family: Bacterial small subunit ribosomal RNA
Source: RNAcentral